This 1308-nucleotide long non-coding RNA is filed under the name Bemisia tabaci. Its description in RNAcentral is "lncRNA ENSSWEETPG013608". The record is from RNAcentral. Lineage: Eukaryota; Metazoa; Arthropoda; Insecta; Hemiptera; Aleyrodidae.
CCGCAGCAUAUUUUGCUUCUAUGACUGAAGUCCAAAGAGUUAAGAAAUUGGCCGCGCAAUCCCAACCUAAUUCGCGAAAAUUCACAUCGCAAAAUACUCACCUCUAAAUUUAUAAUCAGGCAAAUUUCAAUCGAAAUCGUAAACCCAAUUUGCAAUAUCAAACUUUCCAUCCAACAUAAUUGAACGAAAAGUUGGAUGGGAAAUUGAACGCAAAAAAAUAAUUCAGUUACUCUCCGUACUACUUCCCAUCCAAUUGAUGGCGCCAAAAUUCAACGAAAAGUUGAAUGUGACAUUAUAUUCAAGUUUACGCACAAUUUUUCAUCAAAUUGUCGUUUUCUCGCGUCAGUAUCACAAUAUUUACUUUUCAUUUGACAAGCUGCAUUCAAGAGUUGAAUGAAAAGUUCGAAAGUGUGCGUUGUGUGUGGGCUUUACUGAACUCGAUAACAUUGUUGAGAUUAUCAGUGGAGGAUCCCAAAAAUACACAAUAUUGUCUCUAAAUCCAGAAUGCGGAUUUGGUCUCAGCCUUAAAAACCUAGGGGCCAAUCUCGUCCUCGAGGACCCCCUUCCGCCCACGCAAAAGACCUAUGAAUCUUCCUGAGCUUGCUAAGUCAAACUUCCUCCAGCAAUUACAGAUAUUCAGGGCCAGGACGGCAACAUGGCAUGAGAGGCUAGACGCUGGCUACAUCAGGGAGCCAGAGUGGGCCCAAUUAAACAAUCAAACGAUUAUGGCCACUUGUAUUCCAAGUUGCUCGUGUUCCGUUCGUUCCAGGCCCGGGUAAUUGUUGCGUAAACAUUAAACAAGAGCACCUCAACAUCCACGUCGUUAAGCACUCCGGCCUCCGGUCCGAUGAGGUGCUUUCAGAGUUUUGGUCGCCUUAAUUUGGCUGAUUAUUGAGAGUGAUCGACAAAGCGAUAGACAAAGAAGACAAAGGGAGUUUGGAGCUAUCCUAUUGGUUUUCAUGGGUGAGUCCUAUAGACUAAGGGAGAAAAUGAUGGACUAACUACAGGGUCUCUCGUGGGUUGCCCUCAGUUAGCCUAUUACCUACCUCCUUUGUCCAUUGCAACCAACCGCUUCCUCAAAUAGGAUCCCUCCUUAUCCCUUUUGUAUUCUUUGUCUAUAGCUUUGUCUAUCAAUUUCAAUAAUCGGCCCGCAGACAAGAUUUUCAUGACGUCAUACUUUGAUAUCAGUCGUAACAUGCUUACAUCAGCUUGCGAUAUUAUGCCUCCUAAUAUGUUUUAUUUUCUCUGAGGAAAAUAAGAAAUAGAUAUUUUCAUUUUGUAAGUUCUUAAAGAAUGAGUGAGAAAAAU